AGUUUGAUCAUGGCUCAGAUUGAACGCUGGCGGCAUGCCUUACACAUGCAAGUCGAACGGUAACGGGCCUUCGGGUGCCGACGAGUGGCGAACGGGUGAGUAAUGCAUCGGAACGUACCUUUCAGUGGGGGAUAACGCAGCGAAAGCUGUGCUAAUACCGCAUACGCCCUGAGGGGGAAAGCGGGGGAUCGAAAGACCUCGCGCGAUUAGAGCGGCCGAUGCCUGAUUAGCUUGUUGGUGGGGUAAAAGCCCACCAAGGCGACGAUCAGUAGCUGGUCUGAGAGGACGAUCAGCCACACUGGGACUGAGACACGGCCCAGACUCCUACGGGAGGCAGCAGUGGGGAAUUUUGGACAAUGGGGGAAACCCUGAUCCAGCAAUGCCGCGUGAGUGAAGAAGGCCUUCGGGUUGUAAAGCUCUUUUGUCAGGGAAGAAACACCGGCUCUAACACAGUCCGGGAAUGACGGUACCUGAAGAAUAAGCACCGGCUAACUACGUG
Molecule: ribosomal RNA, 499 nt
Filed under: uncultured bacterium
Lineage: Bacteria
Description: bacterial SSU rRNA
Rfam family: Bacterial small subunit ribosomal RNA
Source: RNAcentral